UUUCAGCUGCUCAGUGAAGGUGUGGGGACAGACUACAGCAGUUGCCUGCUCCUCAGCUCAUAAAUUGAGGGACUGGCCCUGUGUGAGCCAUCAGCUACGUGAGAAAUUGAGAUGCCCCCCUUUCCUGCCAUCAUCUUCAGUCUACCUCCAGUACAUACAGUCUUAUGGCCCUGAGACUGCAUCUGAGCAACAGCAGAACCAGACUUGGAAACUGAGCUUUCUGUGUGAUGAUUGGAGUUAAAAAGGAGAA
RNAcentral lists this long non-coding RNA (250 nucleotides) under Lepisosteus oculatus (spotted gar). RNAcentral's name for it is "lncRNA (ENSLOCG00000023045.1)". The record is from RNAcentral. Lineage: Eukaryota; Metazoa; Chordata; Actinopteri; Semionotiformes; Lepisosteidae.